Molecule: ribosomal RNA, 497 nt
Filed under: uncultured bacterium
Lineage: Bacteria
Description: partial 16S ribosomal RNA
Rfam family: Bacterial small subunit ribosomal RNA
Source: RNAcentral
GAUGAACGCUGGCGGCGUGCCUAAUACAUGCAAGUCGAGCGAACGGACGAGAAGCUUGCUUCUCUGAUGUUAGCGGCGGACGGGUGAGUAACACGUGGAUAACCUACCUAUAAGACUGGGAUAACUUCGGGAAACCGGAGCUAAUACCGGACGAUAUUUUGAACCGCAUGGUUCAAAAGUGAAAGACGGUCUUGCUGUCACUUAUAGAUGGAUCCGCGCUACAUUAGCUAGUUGGUAAGGUAACGGCUUACCAAGGCAACGAUGCAUAGCCGACCUGAGAGGGUGAUCGGCCACACUGGAACUGAGACACGGUCCAGACUCCUACGGGAGGCAGCAGUAGGGAAUCUUCCGCAAUGGGCGAAAGCCUGACGGAGCAACGCCGCGUGAGUGAUGAAGGUCUUCGGAUCGUAAAACUCUGUUAUUAGGGAAGAACAUAUGUGUAAGUAACUGUGCACAUCUUGACGGUACCUAAUCAGAAAGCCACGGCUAACUACGUG